CUUAAUUAUUUUAUAACUGAAAGUUUGUGUAAAAAAAUUUUUUUUUGAUUGGAGGAGUCAUUUGCCAGAGUUAUACUAACCAAAAUUUAUGGCCUUUCAUUUUUGUCUUACAUUAUGCCAUAUAUCUAUGCUAAAUUUUGGCAUUUGUCUUAUUGCUCCUUUCGAAUAAACCUGUGUUGAAAUGUCUACCCAUGGUACCCUCUACUUUUCCUAUUGUGCAUUUUCUAACUCAUACUAAUUGCAUGCUUGAUUCCUGUCUUGCCUAGCAAUUCACACACUCUGGGAACAACUGUGACUGUGUUUUCACUGUUGUGUUCUCCGAACCUUGCUCUGAACAAGGCACAUGGUCUACACUCAAUAAAUAAACUCAUGGUGAAUGAGUAUUAUGCAUUCAAAGGAAGAGCAUUCAAUAGGAUGUGAUGGAUGUGACAUCCUGGAAUGUCCAAUGUCCUAGGUUAUAAGAGGCUUUAGAGGAUAUUAUUGAUGCUGAUUUAAGGAUCUGUCUCCUUAAGAAUUUUGCUACAAGCUACAAGUACAUAAUCUUGAAUUGUAGAAAAAAGUGAACUAAUAAUGUCUGACAUACAUCAAAUACUUACCAUGUUCCAAUCACUCUUGGCACCCUACAAGAAUUAUCUGAUUUAAACCUUAGUACUACCCCAUGAAGACACAGGAGGUUAGAGAAGGUAAUUUACUUAAAGCCACCCAGUGAGUGGCAGGGCUUCAAUUCUUAGUCACUAUACAGCACCAACAUUUGCUUUGUGUCUACUUUAUGCCAGGCAUUGUGUUGACUCCUUUAUAUACUUUAUACAUACUUUAGUCAUACUAUUUUCAUUCACUCAUUCAACAAAUGCUUACUGGGCAUCUAUUACUGUGCUGAGAGCUUCGGACAGAGCAGUGUAAAAAUAAAUACAAUCUGUGCCUCAUACUCUAGCAAAGAAGACAUACAUUAAACGGUAAUAGCAAUAACCACUAACAUUUUUCAAGCAUUUACUAUACACUACCCAUCAUUUUUAAGUAUUUAUGUUGAAUACUCAAGAUCAUUCUAACUGAUGAGAAAACUUAAGUACAAAGUCCCAAGUAACACAGGCAUUCACGAUCAGCACUAGGAUAGGAAACUAUGUGGUUUGGCCUCAAGUGCCUUGAUUCUUUAUCUCUCUGCUAUAUUGUUUCAGUAUUACAGUAUGGUGUGAUUAACAGCCAGAUUGUGGAGAGCCUUGUAAGUCAUUUAAAGGUAUCUGACCAGGAUCUAGGUCACUGAAGGGGUUAGGCAGGGGAUUGAUAUCUCAAAUUUGUGUUUGAAGAAUGGAUGAGCAAGAUGAGAGAGAUAUCUCCCAGAAAGAAGGUGACUUCUGUAAUCCAGGUGAGAGAUGAUAGGAUCCAAGAGAUAUUUUGAAGUUAGAAUUGACAGGACUUGGUAAGUGAUUGAGUAUGGGAGGUAGGAGAGUAGGAGGCGUCAAGUGUGACUCUCAGAGAACUAGAGAAUGAUGCCAUUUCCUAAUAUAAAAAGCACUGAAAGAAGGCAAAUAGGGAAAGAAAGAUGAUAUGCCAAUUGUGUUCUCCAAAGACGGCCACAACAUCUUCCAUCCCACAUGCCUUAUGCAAGGUGUCCCUGCCAUUCCCCAGUGAAGAGGGGGAGUUUAAUUCUGCUUCCUAUGAAUCCAGGCUGAUCUUACUGCCUUUCUUGACCAAGAGGAUGUGAUGGAAGUGACAUCCUGGAAUGUCCAAUGUCCUAGGUCACAAGAAGCCUUCUGUGACUUCUGUCUGGGUCUCCUGGAAUGUUCCCUCUUGGGAUACUCCUCUUCAGGAUCAGCCACUAUAUUCUGAGAAGCCCAAGCCACAUGGAAGGCUAUGGUCAGAUGCUCCAUUUGACAGUCACAGAUCUGAACUACUAAGCAUGUUGACCAAGGUUACAAAGUAAAUAGGUUUCCCGAAGAAGCUGGGAUUUGAAUAGAGGCCUAUGUGAGCUGAGGAAUGCUGACUAGACCGGAGGUUUUCCCUGGAAAAUACCAGUACCCAGGACCCAUCUGUGCGAGCACCUCUGAUGUCACAGCUUUCUCAGGAUCGAGCUUUUCAAGUACUGUGAAACUAAUUAGCCACACUCUAUUUUCAUUUUAAUCAUAAUAAGAGGUUAGGAUGUUGUAAAACAAAUAAAAUGUCUACAAUAAGCA
Long non-coding RNA from Equus caballus (horse), 2168 nucleotides. RefSeq lists it as uncharacterized. Lineage: Eukaryota; Metazoa; Chordata; Mammalia; Perissodactyla; Equidae. The record is from RefSeq and is a predicted model, not a curated record.